This 798-nucleotide ribosomal RNA is filed under the name Dactylospongia elegans. RNAcentral describes it as "partial large subunit ribosomal RNA". It matches the Rfam family "Eukaryotic large subunit ribosomal RNA", at positions 34 to 655 of the family's 3401-position model. Lineage: Eukaryota; Metazoa; Porifera; Demospongiae; Dictyoceratida; Thorectidae. The record is from RNAcentral.
UUAAGCAUAUUAAUAAGCGGAGGAAAAGAAACUAACAAGGAUUCCCUCAGUAACGGCGAGCGAAGUGGGAAUAGCUCAAAUUUAAAAUCUCCAGUGCCUGCACUGGCGAAUUGUAGUCUGUAGGGCCAGUUUCGCCCGAGAUGGUGUCCCCAAAGUCGUCCUGGAAAGGCGGGCCAGAGAGGGUGAGAGCCCCGUGCGUGGGGGCACCGUCGAAGGUAAGAUCUGUGCCCAAAGAGUCGGGUUGUUUGGGAUUGCAGCCCAAAAUGGGUGGUAAACUCCAUCUAAAGCUAAAUAUUGGCACGAGACCGAUAGCGAACAAGUACCGUGAGGGAAAGAUGAAAAGCACUUUGAAAAGAGAGUCAAACAGUACGUGAAACCGUCAGGAGGGAAACGAACGAGGUCGGUGCAGUGAUCACGCAGGUUCAAGCCCUGCCGAAGGCGCCGACGCGAUGACAUAGCUUGUCCCGUGUCGUACGCCGGAGGCAGUGCCGUACUCCUCGUGAGCACGGACCAGCAGCGGUUGAGCCGGAGCCACAAGACCGCAGGGAAGGUGAGUCGAUGAGCACCUGUCGCACAUUGACGGCAUAUAGCCCUGCGGCACGGCGCUCCGGUCCGACCGAGGAAGGAGGGCAGCCCUUGCCCGUCGUGGUACACGCCGUAUGGCGGGGCCUCCCGACACAAGUGAACCAUGCGGUGUGGACUGCAUGCAGUGCACAUCGUGGUGGGGAUCUUGUGGCGGAGAGUGCCACCUGUGUGCCAGUGCUGCUGGUAUUCAGACAGCCUCGUUCGACCCGUCUU